UUUAAAUUGAGAGUUUGAUCCUGGCUCAGGACGAACGCUGGCGGCGUGCCUAACACAUGCAAGUCGAGCGAUGAAACUUCCUUCGGGAAGUGGAUUAGCGGCGGACGGGUGAGUAACACGUGGGUAACCUGCCUCAAAGAGGGGGAUAGCCUCCCGAAAGGGAGAUUAAUACCGCAUAACAUUAUUUUAUGGCAUCAUAGAAUAAUCAAAGGAGCAAUCCGCUUUGAGAUGGACCCGCGGCGCAUUAGCUAGUUGGUGAGGUAAGGGCUCACCAAGGCGACGAUGCGUAGCCGACCUGAGAGGGUGAUCGGCCACAUUGGAACUGAGACACGGUCCAGACUCCUACGGGAGGCAGCAGUGGGGAAU
This 366-nucleotide ribosomal RNA is filed under the name Clostridium novyi B str. NCTC 9691. Its description in RNAcentral is "bacterial SSU rRNA". It matches the Rfam family "Bacterial small subunit ribosomal RNA", at positions 1 to 362 of the family's 1533-position model. Lineage: Bacteria; Bacillati; Bacillota; Clostridia; Eubacteriales; Clostridiaceae. The record is from RNAcentral.